Molecule: ribosomal RNA, 435 nt
Filed under: uncultured bacterium
Lineage: Bacteria
Description: partial 16S ribosomal RNA
Rfam family: Bacterial small subunit ribosomal RNA
Source: RNAcentral
ACGAACGCUGGCGGCAUGCCUAACCCAUGCAAGUCGAACGAGAUCCUUCGGGGUCUAGUGGCGCACGGGUGCGUAACGCGUGGGAAUCUGCCCUUAGGUUCGGAAUAACAGUUAGAAAUGACUGCUAAUACCGGAUGAUGACGUUAAGUCCAAAGAUUUAUCGCCUGAGGAUGAGCCCGCGUAGGAUUAGCUAGUUGGUGUGGUAAAGGCGCACCAAGGCGACGAUCCUUAGCUGGUCUGAGAGGAUGAUCAGCCACACUGGGACUGAGACACGGCCCAGACUCCUACGGGAGGCAGCAGUGGGGAAUAUUGGACAAUGGGCGCAAGCCUGAUCCAGCAAUGCCGCGUGAGUGAUGAAGGCCUUAGGGUUGUAAAGCUCUUUUACCCGAGAUGAUAAUGACAGUAUCGGGAGAAUAAGCCCCGGCUAACUCCGUG